Molecule: long non-coding RNA, 1331 nt
Organism: Mauremys reevesii (Reeves's turtle)
Lineage: Eukaryota; Metazoa; Chordata; Testudines; Geoemydidae
Exons: 5
Source: RefSeq, a predicted model, not a curated record
GGCCCCUGGUUAGAAACUGCCAUUUGUGAAAGGAGUUGGGAAGAGAAGGAGCUGCAGGCCACAGCAACAGCAGCAAUCACAAAGAUUGCAACCUGUGGGAUUAAGAGGGAAAGGAGCCUCAGCAAUGGGAGGCCAAAACAGCAAUGGGAACAACAGAAGCUGCAGCUUGUGAGAGGAGAUGUGAAGGGGCUGCAAACAUCAUAGCUUCAGGAGGAACAGAGACUGCAGCCCAUGGAAGUGAUUUGGAGAGGAAGGAACUGCCCACCACAGCAUUAGCAGCAUGGAACACCAGAGACUACAACCUGUGAUAGGCUCAGAGAAGGAGCUGCAAGUCAGAGGAGCAGCAGGAACAGCAAGUAGUAACCAGGAUUCUGAGGAAAAAGAGCUUUAGGCCUCAGGAGUAGUAGUACUGAAAAAAGGAAUCUUAAAGAAGACCAAAGAAGCUGUGGAUAAGACAGGAAGGUGGAGUGUUUGUGCCUCUCACGCAGAAAAAGAACAUUAUCGAAGACUUUUGCAUAGAAACAUCUAAGUCAUCGGUUCUCAAACUUCAUUGCACUGUGACUCCCUUCUGACAACAAAAUUAACUACAUGACCCCAGGAGGGGGGACCGAAGACCGAGCCACCCGAGCCCCACCCGGAUGUGCCCCGACUUGUUUUGUGUGCCAUGUGUGGCUCAAAUGAAGACCAGUAUUUCAGGUUUAUUUCUACUUUUGCACGCUGUUACCCAUCCUAGAUAUUCCAGCUGUUCAGUGCAUCAGUCCCCUUUUAUAUUUUGCAUCAUCUGCUUCUGACCCAGGCAAAUAUGGUUAUCCGCUAGCCAAAAUAGCUAUUCAGGCUCAACUUUGUCAGGAUAAGGAUAUAUGAAGUGGACGUGAACUACAACAUUUAACCAGCACAAGAGCAUAAAUGUGUCAAGGAGGGGAGAAAGAAGAAUUGGGGGAAGCAUCGAGGCAGAAGGAAGCUGUGAGGAACCUGGGAGAAGGCACAUUCAGGAUUCCAGUUGUGAGGCAAUUGCCUGAUUGGGGGCAUGGGAGAAUAAUGCACAUUAAGUGGGACAUUUUAUACAUUUGAUAUGAAAAUAAAAAUAACUAGAUAAAUUCAGAUUUCCAGGUACUUAGCAAUUGUUGCAGGAAGGAAAUCAUAAAGGACUAAGUUAUGGCAUUAUAAAGCUAAUUAUUGUUCCUCUGGCCAGUGCAGGAGGAAUGGGUCCACAUCCUCCCCCUUCCUUGUCCAGUUUCUGUAUUGCCAAUCCCAUAUGUUCAAAAGUUAUGAGUCAGACCCAAAAUUCAGAAGACUGGAUUAUAAUCAAGAGUUUUUGAAAAACAAUAAAU